This 442-nucleotide ribosomal RNA is filed under the name uncultured bacterium. RNAcentral describes it as "partial 16S ribosomal RNA". It matches the Rfam family "Bacterial small subunit ribosomal RNA", at positions 29 to 507 of the family's 1533-position model. The record is from RNAcentral.
AUGAACGCUGGCGGCAUGCCUAACACAUGCAAGUCGAUCGGUAAGGCUCUUCGGAGUACCCGAGAGGCGGACGGCUGAGUAACGCGUAGGAACACACCCUGCAGGGAGGGAUAAGACACCGAAAGGUGUUCUAAUACCGCAUACGGUCUUCGGAUUAAAGCAUUUAUGCGCUGAAGGAGUGGCCUGCGUCAUAUUAGAUAGUUGGUGAGGUAAUGGCUCACCAAGUCGAUGAUGUGUAGCUGGUCUGAGAGGAUGAUCAGCCAGACUGGAACUGAGACACGGUCCAGACUCCUACGGGAGGCAGCAGUGAGGAAUAUUUCACAAUGAGCGAAAGCUUGAUGGAGCAAUGCCGCGUGCAGGAUGAAGGCCCUCGGGUUGUAAACUGCUUUUAUAAGAGAAGAUUAUGACGGUAACUUAUGAAUAAGGGACGGCUAACUACGUG